GGUUGUGGAUGGGCUCACGGCCUAUCAGCUUGUUGGUGGGGUAAUGGCCUACCAAGGCGACGACGGGUAGCCGGCCUGAGAGGGUGACCGGCCACACUGGGACUGAGACACGGCCCAGACUCCUACGGGAGGCAGCAGUGGGGAAUAUUGCACAAUGGGCGCAAGCCUGAUGCAGCGACGCCGCGUGAGGGAUGACGGCCUUCGGGUUGUAAACCUCUUUCAGCACGGAAGAAGCGAAAGUGACGGUACGUGCAGAAGAAGCGCCGGCUAACUACGUGCCAGCAGCCGCGGUAAUACGUAGGGCGCAAGCGUUGUCCGGAAUUAUUGGGCGUAAAGAGCUCGUAGGCGGUUUGUCGCGUCUGCUGUGAAAGCCCGGGGCUUAACCCCGGGUGUGCAGUGGGUACGGGCAGACUUGAGUGCAGUAGGGGAGACUGGAACUCCUGGUGUAGCGGUGAAAUGCGCAGAUAUCAGGAAGAACACCGAUGGCGAAGGCAGGUCUCUGGGCUGUUACUGACGCUGAGGAGCGAAAGCAUGGGGAGCGAACAGGAUUAGAUACCCUGGUAGUCCAUGCCGUAAACGUUGGGCACUAGGUGUGGGGGACAUUCCACGUUUUCCGCGCCGUAGCUAACGC
RNAcentral lists this ribosomal RNA (631 nucleotides) under Kocuria sp. RNAcentral describes it as "bacterial SSU rRNA". It matches the Rfam family "Bacterial small subunit ribosomal RNA", at positions 217 to 858 of the family's 1533-position model. Lineage: Bacteria; Bacillati; Actinomycetota; Actinomycetes; Micrococcales; Micrococcaceae. The record is from RNAcentral.